This 464-nucleotide ribosomal RNA is filed under the name uncultured bacterium. RNAcentral's name for it is "partial 16S ribosomal RNA". It matches the Rfam family "Bacterial small subunit ribosomal RNA", at positions 339 to 795 of the family's 1533-position model. The record is from RNAcentral.
CUACGGGACGCACCAGUGGGGAAUAUUGGACAAUGGGGGGAACCCUGAUCCAGCCAUGCCGCGUGUGUGAAGAAGGCCUUUUGGUUGUAAAGCACUUUAAGCAGUGAAGAAGACUCUUCGGUUAAUACCCGGGGACGAUGACAUUAGCUGCAGAAUAAGCACCGGCUAACUCUGUGCCAGCAGCCGCGGUAAUACAGAGGGUGCAAGCGUUAAUCGGAAUUACUGGGCGUAUAGCGAGCGUAGGUGGCUUGAUAAGUCAGAUGUGAAAUCCCCGGGCUUAACCUGGGAACUGCAUCUGAAACUGUUAGGCUAGAGUAGGUGAGAGGGAAGUAGAAUUUCAGGUGUAGCGGUGAAAUGCGUAGAGAUCUGAAGGAAUACCGAUGGCGAAGGCAGCUUCCUGGCAUCAUACUGACACUGAGGCUCGAAAGCGUGGGUAGCAAACAGGAUUAGAUACCCCAGUAGUC